CGUACACUGAAAAAACGAACUUGGUGGUGUAGUAAAAUAUACUAAUUAAACUGUCCUAAUGUCUACAAUUAAAUUUUUCGUUUCUGCUGGAACUAGAUUUUGUCAAGUAAAAUUACAUGUAUGUACACAAUUUAUUUAUGUAUUUAAAAUGGCUGUGUGGAAGGAGUAAGUCUUAUUAUGGAUGUUUUCAUAACAUUUAAAUGUUUUUUAGUCUCUGCUAGAAACACUAAAAUACUGAGUAAAUUUUACGACACUAUUUUAGAGUGCGUUUGAAUCAGCGCAUGCGCAUUGGGACAAACGAAAGAACCGCGCAGAUGUCCAUUGUCCGUUCGUUGGCAGCAGACAGAGUUGUGAAUAUCUCCGGAAUCUCUCAGGUAAGUAACAGCUUUAUCCAUAAAAUAAUUUAUUAUCAGUUUAAAACGCGUUUCGGUGAUUAGUUUGAAGCAUUGUAUGGACUGCAUACUGAGCGGUCUACACCAAGGUUUGUGUGAUGUAGCUUGAUGCUAGCUUGCUAGUUAUUAGCCAGUUCAUUCCACCAGAGUCGCACACCGCGCGGUUAAUUUGCGAGAUACUAUAUCUUAUUCAGAGCUAUUGUAUUUUGUCUCAUGUACUGUCCCGUGUAGUGCGAAUAUAACACAACGCUACGCCAAAGUUUUUCGUUUUUUUAGUUAUUGUCUAUGUGCUUUCACCUCGAAACAUCAUCUCAACUUUUAGCAUGGCGGCCGCGUUGCGGUGUAUCGUUGAAGCUGCGUGCCACGGUCAAGAGACAAACACAACAUGAAAAUGGCUGUAAAUGAAUCUAUAAAUUAUAAGUUGCCCUUAAAAAUGUGUUUUCAUUCACAGGCGACUGUUUUUGUAUUUAGCCGGCUGGGACAUGAGGUGACCAGAGAGUCAGGAGCGCUGGGCUGUUCAGUGACUAAUCAAAUACUGCACCGUUGUGAUUAGUUCAGAUCAAGAUCUACAGAUCAAGGAGGAGUUUUGGAGAAUAACUACAAUUUCUCUAGAGCAAAGCUUCAUGUACAAACUAGACCACUAUACACCAAAGCUUACUGCCCUGAUGAAAGCCAAGGGAGGUGUUGUGGGGACCAGGCUGAGGCCCCAUCUGGAUAAACUGAGUCAGAACCCAAGCACUGACAUGAGACGUGACGCAGUAAUCCGUGGCCUCAUACUAUUCCUUGGUGAAAAAGAAGAGAAACUUUUCGAAGAUUGCCUGGAGGACAAUCGCAGUGAUGCCACUCAACACAUAGUCAAGAUCCUGGUUGUCCAUGGUACUGAUGGAGAAGAACCAGUAGAUGUUUCCAUCAUUCUUGAAGGGAAGGAGGUAUUGACAGGAUGCCAAAGCUUGCACGUUGCUAAUGGGACUGAUUUAUUCCCUGAACCUUGCC
This is a long non-coding RNA of Gasterosteus aculeatus aculeatus (three-spined stickleback), 1385 nucleotides long. The record is from Ensembl. Lineage: Eukaryota; Metazoa; Chordata; Actinopteri; Perciformes; Gasterosteidae.